RNAcentral lists this ribosomal RNA (689 nucleotides) under uncultured bacterium. RNAcentral describes it as "bacterial SSU rRNA". It matches the Rfam family "Bacterial small subunit ribosomal RNA", at positions 76 to 761 of the family's 1533-position model. The record is from RNAcentral.
GAGCUUGCUCCAUGAUUCAGCGGCGGACGGGUGAGUAAUGCCUAGGAAUCUGCCUGGUAGUGGGGGACAACGUUUCGAAAGGAACGCUAAUACCGCAUACGUCCUACGGGAGAAAGUGGGGGAUCUUCGGACCUCACGCUAUCAGAUGAGCCUAGGUCGGAUUAGCUAGUUGGUGAGGUAAAGGCUCACCAAGGCGACGAUCCGUAACUGGUCUGAGAGGAUGAUCAGUCACACUGGAACUGAGACACGGUCCAGACUCCUACGGGAGGCAGCAGUGGGGAAUAUUGGACAAUGGGCGAAAGCCUGAUCCAGCCAUGCCGCGUGUGUGAAGAAGGUCUUCGGAUUGUAAAGCACUUUAAGUUGGGAGGAAGGGCAGUAAGUUAAUACCUUGCUGUUUUGACGUUACCAACAGAAUAAGCACCGGCUAACUUCGUGCCAGCAGCCGCGGUAAUACGAAGGGUGCAAGCGUUAAUCGGAAUUACUGGGCGUAAAGCGCGCGUAGGUGGUUCGUUAAGUUGGAUGUGAAAGCCCCGGGCUCAACCUGGGAACUGCAUCCAAAACUGGCGAGCUAGAGUAUGGCAGAGGGUGGUGGAAUUUCCUGUGUAGCGGUGAAAUGCGUAGAUAUAGGAAGGAACACCAGUGGCGAAGGCGACCACCUGGGCUAAUACUGACACUGAGGUGCGAAAGCG